Molecule: long non-coding RNA, 204 nt
Filed under: Lathyrus oleraceus (garden pea)
Lineage: Eukaryota; Viridiplantae; Streptophyta; Magnoliopsida; Fabales; Fabaceae
Description: Pisum sativum (pea) long non-coding RNA (PSAT_LNC039282)
Source: RNAcentral
AAACCAAUAUUGAAGCUCCAAAAAUGACUUAUUCUGAGUUGAGAAACACAAUAGGUAACUUUGAUUAUUUUUCAUUCUUUAUAAUUGUAAGUUAUGUAAGCAAUCACUAUAGAUCUUCUUCUAAGCUAUAAUAUCUACUCAUUUUAUUUUGUAGGUGAUAGCUAUCAUAAGUUCUUAAUUAUUUCACAGACACAUAUAUUUUAU